UGUAUCAGAGAACGCGAAUGCCAACCAAUAGCGGGUCUGCGAAUGGCUCAUUAAAUUCAGUUAUCACCUGCCUGACUGCGAUUCGGGACCUUGCGUCACUACCGUGCCACAUGGAUAACCGUUCCAAAUGGAUGGCUAAUACAUGUCAGACCAGCGCCUUGUCGGGUUGCCUUCGGGCAGCUGCCGCGGUCAGCUUGGGCAACCUCGUUGAUUGUGGCAAGACGGGCGCACGGUGGACCGAAACGAAGAGCAGCGCCCGUCGCAGGGCAGUUUGCAUCGAUGAAUCAGGUCCAUUGUGUCGUUCGGUGAAAGCAGAGUGACCGCAGUGUGUCGCUGCGAUGUCAGAUGGAUUCCUGUCCUAUCAGCUGACGAUUGUGGUGUCUUGGACCACAAUUGCAUUAACGGGUAACGGGGAAUUUGGGUUUGAUUCCGGAGAGGGGGUCUGAGAGACGGCCACCACUUCUAAGGAAGGCAGCAGGCGCGCAAAUUGCCCACUACGAACGCAUCCGUGAGGCAGCGACGAAGAAUGGCAGUAGUGCAUGCCUACUUGGCAAGUGCUACUCGCAAUGGAUGACAACUAAACCGCUCAGUGAGUAUCAACCGGAGGGCAAGUCUGGUGCCAGCAGCCGCGGUAAUUCCAGCUCCAGCAGUGUAUACAAAUAUUGCUGCUGUUAAAACGCUCGUAGUUGACUGCAGAGUGGGGAACGUUGCCCAACCUCGGGCUCCUCUCGGAGUCCUUGGGGCAAACUGGGCUCGCCCAGCAAGCCAGGGCAGCAGCUUCUUCGCUCGCCUGACACGGAAGUGGUUCCUCAUGUUGACACACUCUUCGGUGAUUGUGCUUGGCUGCCUUCGAACCGAAAGCAUUCGUUGGCUCUCAAAGAAGGGGCGUCCGUGGCCAAUACCAUGAACAAAACAGCGCGUCCAUAGCGGCCGACUUGCUCGGUCGAAUGACAAAGCAUGGGAUGUUAAGGGAUCGACCAGCGUCUCCUGAUCGUUCUGCCUGCUCUUCUCCAGGCGUUGGGCAAUGCGAGGUGUGAUCAUCGGCUGCAGGCCCUAUCGCGGGGUCUCUGUGGUCGGCUGCAUCUAUCCAUCGAACGGAAACGAUGAGCGUGCUCGGGGCCCUGCGUACUGAUUGCCUAGAGGUGAAAUUCUUGGAUGCAAUCAUGACGAACUGCAGCGAAGGCGUUCUCUGGCAAGGGCACGACUGUCAAUCAAGAACGAGAGUGUGGGGAUCGAAGAUGAUCAGAUACCGUCGUAGUCCAUUUUCCGUAAACGUUGCCGGCUCGGCAUGGGGCGCGUUCCUCUCCACAGGUGGCGUGUUCCGUGCCUCCCUCCAUCAUCGAGAAAUCUGAAGCUUUUGGGUUCAGGGGGGAGUACAUUCGCAAGGCUGAAACUUGAAGGAAUUGACGGAAUGACACCACAAGGCGUGGAGUCUGCGGCUUAAUUUGACUCAACACGGGGAACGUUACCGGGUCAGGACGCAGCGAUGAUGGACAGAUUGAGAGCUCUUUCUUGAUUCUUUGGAUGGUGGUGCAUGGCCGUUCCUGGUUCGUGGGGUGAUCUGUCUGGUUGAUUCCGAUAACGAGCGAGAUCUCCACCUUUCCAUAGCUUUCAUGCUCAUUGUAGGGUAGCCCCCUUUCGGCGUUCCUUCUGGUUCGUUCGGGUGGAUAAGGCUGCACGAGAGCAUGGUAAUCU
This 1695-nucleotide ribosomal RNA is filed under the name Anisonema acinus. RNAcentral's name for it is "SSU rRNA". It matches the Rfam family "Eukaryotic small subunit ribosomal RNA", at positions 56 to 1391 of the family's 1831-position model. The record is from RNAcentral. Lineage: Eukaryota; Euglenozoa; Anisonemea; Anisonemida; Anisonematidae.